GAUGAACGCUGGCGGCGUGCCUAAUACAUGCAAGUCGAGCGAACAGACGAGGAGCUUGCUCCUCUGACGUUAGCGGCGGACGGGUGAGUAACACGUGGAUAACCUACCUAUAAGACUGGGAUAAUUUCGGGAAACCGGAGCUAAUACCGGAUAAUAUAUUGAACCGCAUGGUUCAAUAGUGAAAGACGGUUUUGCUGUCUCUUAUAGAUGGAUCCGCGCCGCAUUAGCUAGUUGGUAAGGUAACGGCUUACCAAGGCAACGAUGCGUAGCCGACCUGAGAGGGUGAUCGGCCACACUGGAACUGAGACACGGUCCAGACUCCUACGGGAGGCAGCAGUAGGGAAUCUUCCGCAAUGGGCGAAAGCCUGACGGAGCAACGCCGCGUGAGUGAUGAAGGUCUUCGGAUCGUAAAACUCUGUUAUUAGGGAAGAACAAAUGUGGAAGUAACUAUGCACGUCUUGACGGUACCUAAUCAGAAAGCCACGGCUAACUACGUG
RNAcentral lists this ribosomal RNA (497 nucleotides) under uncultured bacterium. RNAcentral's name for it is "partial 16S ribosomal RNA". It matches the Rfam family "Bacterial small subunit ribosomal RNA", at positions 28 to 507 of the family's 1533-position model. The record is from RNAcentral.